GACGAACGCUGGCGGCGUGCUUAACACAUGCAAGUCGAACGAAGAGCGAUGGAAGCUUGCUUCUAUCAAUCUUAGUGGCGAACGGGUGAGUAACGCGUAAUCAACCUGCCCUUCAGAGGGGGACAACAGUUGGAAACGACUGCCAAUACCGCAUACGAUCUAAUCUCGGCAUCGAGGAUAGAUGAAAGGUGGCCUCUACAUGUAAGCUAUCACUGAAGGAGGGGAGUGCGUCUGAUUAGCUAGUUGGAGGGGUAACGGCCCACCAAGGCGAUGAUCAGUAGCCGGUCUGAGAGGAUGAACGGCCACAUUGGGACUGAGACACGGCCCAGACUCCUACGGGAGGCAGCAGUGGGGAAUCUUCCGCAAUGGACGAAAGUCUGACGGAGCAACGCCGCGUGAGCGAUGACGGCCUUCGGGUUGUAAAGCUCUGUUAAUCGGGACGAAAGGCCUCCUUGCGAAUAGGGAGAAGGAUUGACGGUACCGGAAUAGAAAGCCACGGCUAACUACGUG
This 510-nucleotide ribosomal RNA is filed under the name uncultured bacterium. RNAcentral describes it as "partial 16S ribosomal RNA". It matches the Rfam family "Bacterial small subunit ribosomal RNA", at positions 28 to 507 of the family's 1533-position model. The record is from RNAcentral.